GUGUUUGUUUCCUUUCUUGCCCUGCUCACUCUGGGCUGUGGUGGCUUUUGCUGCAGCAGCUCUCAACCUGCCUGAGUCCCAACAGCUCGACACUUUAAUAAUUUAAGUGAUUUACAUUCCCCAAAGUGCAUCUGAACAGAUUUAUUAUGAGCGUUUGCGACCUGUUCCUCUGAAGCACUUCUCUGACGUCUGUUCUUCGCUGGAGUUCACCACCCAAGGCAGUUCACAGUGGUAAUUGGGAGCAUUUCCAUGAUUUUUCCAUGUUUUCCAUCCUACUUGAGAGCCGUGCUUGGAUGAGUCCAGCCCCAGACUGUCUCUCCUUGGCUGGCUGUAUCAAUUUGACCUGUGUUACAGUGUCCAUCCUUUGGGGAUACAGAAGAAAUCACUCCAGCAUUAUUCAACAACCUGGGCAGCACAUGGACUUCUGAUCAGAGUGAGUGUCUCUUUUUUUUAUCUCUCCCAAGAUUUUCUGAGGAAUG
RNAcentral lists this long non-coding RNA (479 nucleotides) under Manacus vitellinus (golden-collared manakin). Its description in RNAcentral is "lncRNA (ENSMVIG00005004568.1)". Lineage: Eukaryota; Metazoa; Chordata; Aves; Passeriformes; Pipridae. The record is from RNAcentral.